This is a small nucleolar RNA of Caenorhabditis elegans, 133 nucleotides long. NCBI's taxonomy places the organism in Eukaryota, Metazoa, Nematoda, Chromadorea, Rhabditida, Rhabditidae. The record is from Ensembl.
ACACUCGAUGUGCACAGUCACAGAAAACAUACGCAUAAAAAAGCAAAAAAAGAAAAGACGGGAGAAAACCAUCCCUUGUUUCCUUUUAUGUUGUGCUGUUUUCUCAAUCUUUUUCGAGAUGAUUAUUUUUCGA